UGCAGUCGAGCGGACCGACGGGAGCUUGCUCCCUUAGGUCAGCGGCGGACGGGUGAGUAACACGUGGGUAACCUGCCUGUAAGACUGGGAUAACUCCGGGAAACCGGGGCUAAUACCGGAUGCUUGAUUGAACCGCAUGGUUCAAUUAUAAAAGGUGGCUUUCAGCUACCACUUGCAGAUGGACCCGCGGCGCAUUAGCUAGUUGGUGAGGUAACGGCUCACCAAGGCGACGAUGCGUAGCCGACCUGAGAGGGUGAUCGGCCACACUGGGACUGAGACACGGCCCAGACUCCUACGGGAGGCAGCAGUAGGGAAUCUUCCGCAAUGGACGAAAGUCUGACGGAGCAACGCCGCGUGAGUGAUGAAGGUUUUCGGAUCGUAAAACUCUGUUGUUAGGGAAGAACAAGUACCGUUCGAAUAGGGCGGUACCUUGACGGUACCUAACCAGAAAGCCACGGCUAACUACGUGCCAGCAGCCGCGGUAAUACGUAGGUGGCAAGCGUUGUCCGGAAUUAUUGGGCGUAAAGCGCGCGCAGGCGGUUUCUUAAGUCUGAUGUGAAAGCCCCCGGCUCAACCGGGGAGGGUCAUUGGAAACUGGGGAACUUGAGUGCAGAAGAGGAGAGUGGAAUUCCACGUGUAGCGGUGAAAUGCGUAGAGAUGUGGAGGAACACCAGUGGCGAAGGCGACUCUCUGGUCUGUAACUGACGCUGAGGCGCGAAAGCGUGGGGAGCGAACAGGAUUAGAUACCCUGGUAGUCCACGCCGUAAACGAUGAGUGCUAAGUGUUAGAGGGUUUCCGCCCUUUAGUGCUGCAGCAAACGCAUUAAGCACUCCGCCUGGGGAGUACGGUCGCAAGACUGAAACUCAAAGGAAUUGACGGGGGCCCGCACAAGCGGUGGAGCAUGUGGUUUAAUUCGAAGCAACGCGAAGAACCUUACCAGGUCUUGACAUCCUCUGACAACCCUAGAGAUAGGGCUUCCCCUUCGGGGGCAGAGUGACAGGUGGUGCAUGGUUGUCGUCAGCUCGUGUCGUGAGAUGUUGGGUUAAGUCCCGCAACGAGCGCAACCCUUGAUCUUAGUUGCCAGCAUUCAGUUGGGCACUCUAAGGUGACUGCCGGUGACAA
Molecule: ribosomal RNA, 1122 nt
Filed under: Bacillus licheniformis
Lineage: Bacteria; Bacillati; Bacillota; Bacilli; Caryophanales; Bacillaceae
Description: bacterial SSU rRNA
Rfam family: Bacterial small subunit ribosomal RNA
Source: RNAcentral